UGACCUCAUGAUCCGCCCAUCUCGGCCUCCCAAAGUGCUGGGAUUACAGCCUUGAGCCACCGUACCCGGCCGAUGGGUUUUUUUAAAAUAUGUGUUUUAUCAGAGAAUAUUUUAAAUUUUCACCGGCAAUAAACAAAAUAGUAUAAUAGACUGAUGCUCAGCCUCAACAUCUACUAAUUAAGUCUCAUUUUUGUUUAAUUUCUACUUCAAUUCCUUCCCCGUCCCCACUUUUUUACUGUUUUUAUUUUCUGUAAGAUAAGAUGUAUAUGCAUUGAAACAUAGUCUUUACUGUACCUUUCUGACAAAUCAAUACAUCUUAUAUACUUUUCCCUUUCAAAUAUAGAAUUACUGCCACUUAACAAUUAUUAAUGUGCAUGUGAAUCACCUGGAAAUACUUGAAGUUUAGAUUUUGAUACAAUAUAUCUGGGUUUUGCCUGAAAAUGUGUAUUUCUACCAUGUAGAGCACAUGAUAAGUACAAGAUCUCUUUGUCUAAAAUGUAUAAUACUUGAAUAAAAUUAAGAAAAAUUGGGCUGGGCACGGUGGCUCACACAUGUAAUCCCAGUACUUUGGGAGGCCGAGGUGGGCUAAUCACCUAAGGUCAGGAGUUUGAGACCAGCCUGACCAAUAUAGAGAAACCUCAUCUCUACUAAUGUAGCAGGAUGAGCAGCAGACAAAACUCCUCAGACACCGAGUUAAAGAAGGAAGGGGGCCGGACGCGGUGGCUCAAGCCUGUAAUCCCAGCACUUUGGGAGGCCGAGAUGGUCUCGAUCUCCUGACCUCGUGAUCCACCCAUCUCGGCCUCCCAAAGUGCUGGGAUUACAGGCUUGAGCCAUCGCGCCCGGCCUAUUUGUAUUCAUAUUAUGAAGCCUACUUCUCUCAUUUCAGCCAUCUCAGACUCAGCUCAGUUCUGAACCCUGGCUGGAGAGGUGUUGCAUGCAGUUGGUUGGAGAAAAGGGCGCACUCUGACUUUUGAGUUUUCAUCAUUUUUGUGCCAUUUCUCAUCUUUGUGGGUGUUUGGGUGAGGGAGAAGGGACAA
This 1037-nucleotide long non-coding RNA is filed under the name Papio anubis (olive baboon). RNAcentral describes it as "lncRNA (ENSPANG00000047658.1)". The record is from RNAcentral. Lineage: Eukaryota; Metazoa; Chordata; Mammalia; Primates; Cercopithecidae.